RNAcentral lists this ribosomal RNA (447 nucleotides) under uncultured bacterium. RNAcentral describes it as "partial 16S ribosomal RNA". It matches the Rfam family "Bacterial small subunit ribosomal RNA", at positions 29 to 523 of the family's 1533-position model. The record is from RNAcentral.
AACGAACGCUGGCGGCAGGCCUAACACAUGCAAGUCGAACGCCCCGCAAGGGGAGUGGCAAACGGGUGAGUAACACGUGGGAAUUUUCCUCAUAGUUCGGGAUAGCCUCGGGAAACUGGGAUUAAUACCGGAUACGGUCUACGGACGAAAGAUCUAUCGCUAUGAGAUAAGCCCGCGCCUGAUUAGCUAGUUGGUGAGGUAAUGGCUCACCAAGGCUACGAUCAGUAGCUGGUCUGAGAGGACGACCAGCCACACUGGGACUGAGAUACGGCCCAGACUCCUACGGGAGGCAGCAGUGGGGAAUAUUGGACAAUGGGCGCAAGCCUGAUCCAGCCAUGCCGCGUGAGUGAUGAAGGCCUUCGGGUUGUAAAGCUCUUUAGCAGGGGAAAAUAAUGAUGGUACCCUGAAAAUAAGCUCCGGCUAACUCCGUGCCAGCCGCCGCAGUAA